This 253-nucleotide ribosomal RNA is filed under the name Dorea longicatena. RNAcentral's name for it is "partial 16S ribosomal RNA". It matches the Rfam family "Bacterial small subunit ribosomal RNA", at positions 524 to 776 of the family's 1533-position model. The record is from RNAcentral. Lineage: Bacteria; Bacillati; Bacillota; Clostridia; Lachnospirales; Lachnospiraceae.
UACGUAGGGGGCAAGCGUUAUCCGGAUUUACUGGGUGUAAAGGGAGCGUAGACGGCACGGCAAGCCAGAUGUGAAAGCCCGGGGCUCAACCCCGGGACUGCAUUUGGAACUGCUGAGCUAGAGUGUCGGAGAGGCAAGUGGAAUUCCUAGUGUAGCGGUGAAAUGCGUAGAUAUUAGGAGGAACACCAGUGGCGAAGGCGUCUUGCUGGACGAUGACUGACGUUGAGGCUCGAAAGCGUGGGGAGCAAACAGG